RNAcentral lists this ribosomal RNA (482 nucleotides) under fungal sp. KL-2011. RNAcentral's name for it is "eukaryotic LSU rRNA". The stretch from base 133 to 286 matches the Rfam family "5.8S ribosomal RNA". The record is from RNAcentral. Lineage: Eukaryota; Fungi.
CUUCGGCCCAAGCCUUCGUCUAUACCCUUGUCUUUUGCGCACUUAUGUUUCCUCGGUGGGCUUGCCUGCCGAUAGGACACCACAAAACUCUUUUUAAUUUUCAAUCAGCGUCUGAAAAAACAUAAUAAUUACAACUUUCAACAACGGAUCUCUUGGUUCUGGCAUCGAUGAAGAACGCAGCGAAAUGCGAUAAGUAGUGUGAAUUGCAGAAUUCAGUGAAUCAUCGAAUCUUUGAACGCACAUUGCGCCCCUUGGUAUUCCAUGGGGCAUGCCUGUUCGAGCGUCAUUUGUACUCUCAAGCAUUGCUUGGUGUUGGGUGUUUGUCCUAACAAUAGUUGGGACUCGCCUUAAAACAAUUGGCAGCCAGUGUAUUAGACUUGGAGCGCAGCACAAUUUGCGUCUCCUUGCGAAUAAACUGGCAACCAUCAAGCCUAUUUUUCACGCUUGACCUCGGAUCAGGUAGGGAUACCCGCUGAACUUAA